CCUACGGGGCGCAGCAGUGGGGAAUAUUGCACAAUGGGCGCAAGCCUGAUGCAGCCAUGCCGCGUGUGUGAAGAAGGCCUUCGGGUUGUAAAGCACUUUCAGCGGGGAGGAAGGCGGUGAGGUUAAUAACCUCAUCGAUUGACGUUACCCGCAGAAGAAGCACCGGCUAACUCCGUGCCAGCAGCCGCGGUAAUACAGAGGGUGCAAGCGUUAAUCGGAAUUACUGGGCGUAAAGCGCACGCAGGCGGUCUGUCAAGUCGGAUGUGAAAUCCCCGGGCUCAACCUGGGAACUGCAUUCGAAACUGGCAGGCUAGAGUCUUGUAGAGGGGGGUAGAAUUCCAGGUGUAGCGGUGAAAUGCGUAGAGAUCUGGAGGAAUACCGGUGGCGAAGGCGGCCCCCUGGACAAAGACUGACGCUCAGGUGCGAAAGCGUGGGGAGCAAACAGGAUUAGAUACCCGUGUAGUC
RNAcentral lists this ribosomal RNA (465 nucleotides) under uncultured Klebsiella sp. Its description in RNAcentral is "bacterial SSU rRNA". It matches the Rfam family "Bacterial small subunit ribosomal RNA", at positions 338 to 795 of the family's 1533-position model. Lineage: Bacteria; Pseudomonadati; Pseudomonadota; Gammaproteobacteria; Enterobacterales; Enterobacteriaceae. The record is from RNAcentral.